CUUGUGUACAAUUUGGAAAUUAGUAUGGCGUUCAUUAUCACUGGACUAGUGUAUAUUUGUUUAGGGGCCAGCUGAAGGACGCCUCCGGGUGUGGGAAUUUCUCGCUACAUUGAAGACCUGUUGGUGACCCUCUGCUGUUGUUUUUUAUUUGGUCGGGUUGUUGUCUCUUUGACACAUUCCCCAUUUCCAUUCUCAAUUUUAUAGUU
RNAcentral lists this long non-coding RNA (206 nucleotides) under Mytilus galloprovincialis (Mediterranean mussel). Lineage: Eukaryota; Metazoa; Mollusca; Bivalvia; Mytilida; Mytilidae. The record is from RNAcentral.